AUCCUUUUGUAGUUCUUAAGUCUGAUGAUUGGGUGUUCAUGCACAUGCAUGAGAUGUACCUCCCUCAAACUUUGUUACAACAUUGGCACAUUACCCAUCUGACA
Molecule: small nucleolar RNA, 104 nt
Organism: Nycticebus coucang (slow loris)
Lineage: Eukaryota; Metazoa; Chordata; Mammalia; Primates; Lorisidae
Product: small nucleolar RNA U13
Exons: 1
Source: RefSeq, a predicted model, not a curated record